Molecule: ribosomal RNA, 372 nt
Filed under: uncultured bacterium
Lineage: Bacteria
Description: bacterial SSU rRNA
Rfam family: Bacterial small subunit ribosomal RNA
Source: RNAcentral
GUAGGGUGCAAGCGUUGUCCGGAAUUAUUGGGCGUAAAGAGCUCGUAGGCGGUUUGUCACGUCGGAUGUGAAAACUCGGGGCUCAACCCCGAGCCUGCAUACGAUACGGGCAGACUUGAGUACGGCAGGGGAGACUGGAAUUCCUGGUGUAGCGGUGAAAUGCGCAGAUAUCAGGAGGAACACCGGUGGCGAAGGCGGGUCUCUGGGCCGAUACUGACGCUGAGGAGCGAAAGCGUGGGGAGCGAACAGGAUUAGAUACCCUGGUAGUCCACGCCGUAAACGGUGGGUGCUAGGUGUGGGGAACAUUCCGCGUUCUCCGUGCCGCAGCUAACGCAUUAAGCACCCCGCCUGGGGAGUACGGCCGCAAGGCUA